Molecule: ribosomal RNA, 483 nt
Filed under: uncultured bacterium
Lineage: Bacteria
Description: partial 16S ribosomal RNA
Rfam family: Bacterial small subunit ribosomal RNA
Source: RNAcentral
GACGAACGCUGGCGGCGUGCUUAACACAUGCAAGUCGAACGGUGAAAGCGGAGCUUGCUCCGCUGGAUCAGUGGCGAACGGGUGAGUAACACGUGGGCAACCUGCCCCUCACUUCGGAAUAACUCCGGGAAACCGGGGCUAAUACCGGAUAUGACUUCCUUGUGCAUCCUUGGAGGUGGAAAGGUUUUCGGUGAGGGAUGGGCACGCGGCCUAUCAGCUUGUUGGUGAGGUAGUGGCCCACCAAGGCGACGACGGGUAGCCGGCCUGAGAGGGCGAACGGCCACACUGGGACUGAGACACGGCCCAGACUCCUACGGGAGGCAGCAGUGGGGAAUAUGGCGCAAUGGGCGAAAGCCUGACGCAGCAACGCCGCGUGAGGGAUGGCGGCCUUCGGGUUGUAAACCUCUUUUAGCAGGGAAGAAGCGAAAGUGACGGUACCUGCAGAAAAAGCACCGGCUAACUACGUGCCAGCCGCCGCAGUAA